RNAcentral lists this non-coding RNA (502 nucleotides) under Astyanax mexicanus (Mexican tetra). RNAcentral's name for it is "Eukaryotic large subunit ribosomal RNA". It matches the Rfam family "Eukaryotic large subunit ribosomal RNA", at positions 1456 to 1888 of the family's 3401-position model. Lineage: Eukaryota; Metazoa; Chordata; Actinopteri; Characiformes; Acestrorhamphidae. The record is from Rfam by way of RNAcentral.
GGUAGUAGCAAAUAUUCAAUAUUUAAACAAGAGCUUUGAAGGACGAAGUGGAGAAGGGUUCCAUGUGAACAGCAGUUGAACAUGGGUCAAUCGGUCCUAAGGGAUGGGCGAACGCCGUUUGGAAGUGUGGAGCGAUGGCCUCCGUCGCCCCCGGCCGAUCGAAAGGGAGUCGGGUUCAGAUCCCCGAACCCGGAGUGGCGGAGAUAGGCGCCGCGAGGCGCCCAGUGCGGUAACGCAAACGAACCUGGAGACGCCAGCGGGGGCCACCGGGAAGAGUUCUCUUUUUCUUUGUGAAGGGCAGGGCUCCCUGGAAUGGGUUACACACCCCUGAGAUAGGGGCCCGUGCCCUGGUACGCAUCGCGGCUCUGGCGGCGUCCGGUAAGAUCUCGCUGGCCCUUGAAAAUCCGGGGGAGAGGGUGUAAGUCUCGCACCGGGCCGUACCCAUAUCCGCAGCAGGUCUCCAAAGGUGUGUUAUUCAGAGAAAUUGGACACCUUCUAGUCC